Molecule: long non-coding RNA, 128 nt
Filed under: Vombatus ursinus (common wombat)
Lineage: Eukaryota; Metazoa; Chordata; Mammalia; Diprotodontia; Vombatidae
Description: lncRNA (ENSVURG00010002713.1)
Source: RNAcentral
UGAAUCUCCUUGACUCCAGGCCCUGCACUCGAUCUACUGUGCCACCUAGUCACCCUAUGAAGUAAUUACAAGAUCUAAAAAAAUUCAAGGAAGAAAGAAGAGACCCAAAGAACUGAGACAUAGAAAAG